UACAGAGGUCUCAAGCGUUGUUCGGAUUCAUUGGGCGUAAAGGGUGCGUAGGCGGCGCGGUAAGUCGGGUGUGAAAUCUUGGAGCUUAACUCCGAAACUGCAUUCGAUACUGAGAGUCUUGAGUCCGGGAGAGGUGAGUGGAACUGCGAGUGUAGAGGUGAAAUUCGUAGAUAUUCGCAAGAACACCAGUGGCGAAGGCGGCUCACUGGCCCGGUACUGACGCUGAGGUGCGAAAGCGUGGGGAGCAAACAGG
Molecule: ribosomal RNA, 253 nt
Filed under: uncultured bacterium
Lineage: Bacteria
Description: partial 16S ribosomal RNA
Rfam family: Bacterial small subunit ribosomal RNA
Source: RNAcentral